This 490-nucleotide ribosomal RNA is filed under the name bacterium SNB-CN51. RNAcentral's name for it is "bacterial SSU rRNA". It matches the Rfam family "Bacterial small subunit ribosomal RNA", at positions 41 to 527 of the family's 1533-position model. The record is from RNAcentral.
GGCGGCCUACACAUGCAAGUCGAGCGGAUGAGAGGAGCUUGCUCCUGGAUUCAGCGGCGGACGGGUGAGUAAUGCCUAGGAAUCUGCCUGGUAGUGGGGGACAACGUUUCGAAAGGAACGCUAAUACCGCAUACGUCCUACGGGAGAAAGCAGGGGACCUUCGGGCCUUGCGCUAUCAGAUGAGCCUAGGUCGGAUUAGCUAGUUGGUGAGGUAAUGGCUCACCAAGGCGACGAUCCGUAACUGGUCUGAGAGGAUGAUCAGUCACACUGGAACUGAGACACGGUCCAGACUCCUACGGGAGGCAGCAGUGGGGAAUAUUGGACAAUGGGCGAAAGCCUGAUCCAGCCAUGCCGCGUGUGUGAAGAAGGUCUUCGGAUUGUAAAGCACUUUAAGUUGGGAGGAAGGGCAGUAAAUUAAUACUUUGCUGUUUUGACGUUACCGACAGAAUAAGCACCGGCUAACUCUGUGCCAGCAGCCGCNNGUAAUACA